GAUCUCUUGAACUACAGAGGUCCAAGAGAUUUGUAGUCACUCACCAUUGGAUAUAAAUUCAACGGUUCACUCACUCUUGCACUCCUUUUAAGAAACUUUUUUGAACUGUUGAAUGUUACAUCCAACGGUGAGUGACCACAAUAUCUUGAACUCCUGUGGUCCAAGAGAUC
This 170-nucleotide microRNA precursor is filed under the name Prunus dulcis (almond). Its description in RNAcentral is "sRNA ncRNA". Lineage: Eukaryota; Viridiplantae; Streptophyta; Magnoliopsida; Rosales; Rosaceae. The record is from RNAcentral.